AAAGAUAGAAAUAUAAAAAUAAGAUUGGAUAAUAUUGAAGAAACAAAAUCAAUUUUGCAAGAUAAAGCUACCUGAAAUUUUCACUUAAAUAUAAUGACCAAGUCUUUUGGUACAGAUGUAGAGUAAGAUUUGCAGUUAUUUUUAAGCUGAUUUCAUUUUAAGUUUGUUGAUUAGCCACACUUUAGGCUGGGGAAAGCAUUGAAUGUAUUUAAGAACAUCUGGCACUCUCUUUGUCACUCAUUCUCAUAUUUUCUAGAUUAUUAAUUCCCUUUUAAAAAUACCUGUAGCCCUGUAAGUCUUGGUGGUAUUUGCAUUAAAGAAGGUCACAGAGCUAAUUGAGCCAGU
This 345-nucleotide long non-coding RNA is filed under the name Marmota monax (woodchuck). Lineage: Eukaryota; Metazoa; Chordata; Mammalia; Rodentia; Sciuridae. The record is from RNAcentral.